GGUGGUUCUCGGGUGAUGCACCCUGGAAUCAGCCUUCCUCCUCUCUGGUUCCAGGUGCAUCACCCAAGAACCACA
This is a non-coding RNA of Myotis brandtii (Brandt's bat), 75 nucleotides long. Lineage: Eukaryota; Metazoa; Chordata; Mammalia; Chiroptera; Vespertilionidae. The record is from Rfam.